This is a long non-coding RNA of Synchiropus splendidus (mandarinfish), 159 nucleotides long. RefSeq lists it as uncharacterized. The transcript is spliced from 3 exons. Lineage: Eukaryota; Metazoa; Chordata; Actinopteri; Syngnathiformes; Callionymidae. The record is from RefSeq and is a predicted model, not a curated record.
CUCAUCACCAGGCAGAGGUAUGGGAAGAGGACGAGUCCAGAAGCUCCUUUGGCCCACGUGGUGGUGAGGGAGCAAAGUGUUGCGUCACCCCGCGGUGAAAAGUGUGUCCCUCGACCCCGCUGCUUUUGGGACGAAAGGAGUGUCGCUGACCUGCGUCCU